This 66-nucleotide transfer RNA is filed under the name marine eukaryotic metagenome. It matches the Rfam family "tRNA". From Rfam's summary of the family: Transfer RNA (tRNA) molecules are approximately 80 nucleotides in length. Their secondary structure includes four short double-helical elements and three loops (D, anti-codon, and T loops). Further hydrogen bonds mediate the characteristic L-shaped molecular structure. tRNAs have two regions of fundamental functional importance: the anti-codon, which is responsible for specific mRNA codon recognition, and the 3' end, to which the tRNAs corresponding amino acid is attached (by aminoacyl-tRNA synthetases). tRNAs cope with the degeneracy of the genetic code in two manners: having more than one tRNA (with a specific anti-codon) for a particular amino acid; and 'wobble' base-pairing, i.e. permitting non-standard base-pairing at the 3rd anti-codon position. The record is from RNAcentral.
GGCGUAGCUCAGUUGGUAGAGCAGCUGAUUUGUAAUCAGCAGGUCGGGGGUUCGAGUCCCUUUGCC